GUGGGUAUAGCUCAAGUGGUAAAGCGCAUGCUUGGCAUGCCUGAGGUCCUGGGUUCAAUCCCCAGUACCUACA
RNAcentral lists this transfer RNA (73 nucleotides) under Camelus ferus (Wild Bactrian camel). It matches the Rfam family "tRNA". From Rfam's summary of the family: Transfer RNA (tRNA) molecules are approximately 80 nucleotides in length. Their secondary structure includes four short double-helical elements and three loops (D, anti-codon, and T loops). The record is from Rfam by way of RNAcentral. Lineage: Eukaryota; Metazoa; Chordata; Mammalia; Artiodactyla; Camelidae.